GAAUUUAAGAGAAUCACAACAAUUAAUUUGCAAUCCAAGUUCUUCUCUUCGCAGGAUAUUCACUCUACAAGCCUGAUCGACGUGAAUACCAAGAAAGGUGGAGUUCAAGGGAAGAAGAUCAAAAGCAUCAUGCUUCCCAUAACCCAGACUGACAGCAUUGACGUGAGACGCGAAUGCAUCCUCAAAGGUCUUUGUGUAUACUUCAACGAAGAUCCAGAGAAGCUGGUGAAGGAAUACAUGAGCAUCGACAACAGCAGUCAAACGGCAAUCAGAGACGGUCUUCGGAAUAUUUGUCAUUCGACACGAAGGUGCAGAGCCUGGGGAUGACCCCGAGAACGUUGGGAUCAUUCUGGAGGGGCUCGAAGUGCUGGAUGAGUUGGGAAACGUAUCUUUUGCGGUGGCGAUGAUGUUUGCUCUCGUGUAUGCUCUAAACUUAUACCCUCCAGAGCUGAAGUUUACAUUUGAAGCACUGCAGAAAAUAAUGAUGGAGCUGGAAACAGACUAUCCACAAAAGGACAAGUCCUCAAAACAUUGCUUUCCCGUGCCUAAUGUCACUGUUUGGGAUCGCCUCAUCUUCCAAACACGCAGCCAUCAGAGAUUCGGUGACUCACCUCUUUGACAGAAAUGUUGAUUAUAUGCAAGAAGUAUAAAAGUAAGCAUUCAAAGUUGGCUGUAGCAUGGUUACGUGGACCUCACUGAGCAGAGGGCUGUGCGAGGAGGCAGAUGUUACCAUGUUGCCUUAUUUGGUGUUGAAACUCAAGUUUGUUAUAUUGUUCACCCUAAAGUUGAAACAUUUUAAUAUUUGGGAAGAAACUGUUUUUUUUCAAGCAUCUGUCAGUGUAAAGCUAUUUUGUGAAAUAUAUAUUCACUGUUAUAUUUAAUGUCUGUCAGUGCAAAGCAUUGUUUAUCUUUGCCUAUUUUGUGAAAUAUAUAUUCACUGUUAUAUUUAAUACAGUGAAACCCAGUCUGCUUGUUGGUUGAGAUGGUGUUCUUAAUGGUCUUUUUUUAUUGCAUGUUCUCUAAUCUGCAUACUUAGACAUCUUGCGUUUGUGUUAUGUUUCCACCCUUGAAGCUCACUAGACUGUAGACUGUUGAAAUUCUGUUUCUGUUGUUGUUCACUCUAAAUGUUUUAAAUGUGUAAACACUCAAAAGUUAUUCUUUGAAUGAACUUGAUUAAAUCAUGGACAGUA
Long non-coding RNA from Gymnodraco acuticeps, 1190 nucleotides. RefSeq lists it as uncharacterized. The transcript is spliced from 3 exons. The record is from RefSeq and is a predicted model, not a curated record. NCBI's taxonomy places the organism in Eukaryota, Metazoa, Chordata, Actinopteri, Perciformes, Bathydraconidae.